This 362-nucleotide unclassified non-coding RNA is filed under the name uncultured Clavariaceae. RNAcentral describes it as "sequence contains ITS1". The stretch from base 1 to 105 matches the Rfam family "5.8S ribosomal RNA", at positions 50 to 154 of the family's 154-position model. The record is from RNAcentral. Lineage: Eukaryota; Fungi; Basidiomycota; Agaricomycetes; Agaricales; Clavariaceae.
GAAUUGCGAUAUGUAAUGUGAAUUGCAGAAUUCAGUGAAUCAUCGAAUCUUUGAACGCACCUUGCGCCCUUUGGUAUUCCGAAGGGCAUGCCUGUUUGAGUGUCAUUAAAUUCUCAACUUCACAAGGGUUUAUUCCCUUGAUGAAGCUUGGACUUUGGAGGCUUGCUGGCAUCACUGUCAGCUCCUCUUAAAUGCAUUAGCGGAAAUAUUAAGGACUGGCUUUGGUUUGAUAAUCCUAUCUAUGCCGUUGCUGUGGACUUUGUUAUUGUUUCAGCUUCUAAUGGUCUUUGGACUGUCUCCCUGUGAGGCAUACAAUUUUUAAGCUUGACCUCAAAUCAGGUAGGACUACCCGCUGAACUUAA